UGGGGAAUUUUGGACAAUGGCGAAAGCCUGAUCCAGCAAUGCCGCGUGUGUGAAGAAGGCCUUCGGGUUGUAAAGCACUUUUGUCCGGAAAGAAAGUCCUUGGCUCUAAUACAGUCGGGGGAUGACGGUACCGGAAGAAUAAGCACCGGCUAACUACGUGCCAGCAGCCGCGGUAAUAGCGUAGGGUGCAAGCGUUAAUCGGAAUUACUGGGCGUAAAGCGUGCGCAGGCGGUUUUGCUAAGACCGAUGUGAAAUCCCCGGGCUCAACUGGGAACUGCAUUGGUGAACUGGCAGGCUAGAGUAUGGCAGAGGGGGGUAGAAUUCCACGUGUAGCAGUGAAAUGCGUAGAGAUGUGGAGGAAUACCGAUGGCGAAGGCAGCCCCCUGGGCAAUACUGACGCUCAUGCACGAAAAGCGUGGGGAGCAAACAGGAUUAGAUACCCUGGUAGUCCACGCCCUAAAACGAUGUCAACUAGUUGUUGGGGAUUCAUUUCCUUAGUAACGUAGCUAACGCGUGAAGUUGACCGCCUGGGGA
This 534-nucleotide ribosomal RNA is filed under the name uncultured bacterium. RNAcentral describes it as "partial 16S ribosomal RNA". It matches the Rfam family "Bacterial small subunit ribosomal RNA", at positions 355 to 879 of the family's 1533-position model. The record is from RNAcentral.